Molecule: ribosomal RNA, 672 nt
Filed under: Thiobacillus denitrificans
Lineage: Bacteria; Pseudomonadati; Pseudomonadota; Betaproteobacteria; Nitrosomonadales; Thiobacillaceae
Description: bacterial SSU rRNA
Rfam family: Bacterial small subunit ribosomal RNA
Source: RNAcentral
AAGACGUGAAAGCCCCGGGCUUAACCUGGGAAUGGCGUUUUGAACUGGCAGUCUAGAGUGCGUCAGAGGGGGGUGGAAUUCCAGUGUAGCAGUGAAAUGCGUAGAGAUGUGGAGGAACACCAAUGGCGAAGGCAGCCCCCUGGGAUGACACUGACGCUCAUGUACGAAAGCGUGGGUAGCAAACAGGAUUAGAUACCCUGGUAGUCCACGCCCUAAACGAUGUCAACUGGUUGUUGGGGGAGUGAAAUCCCUUAGUAACGAAGCUAACGCGUGAAGUUGACCGCCUGGGAGUACGGUCGCAAGAUUAAAACUCAAAGGAAUUGACGGGGACCCGCACAAGCGGUGGAUGAUGUGGAUUAAUUCGAUGCAACGCGAAAAACCUUACCUACCCUUGACAUGUCCAGGAUCCUGCAGAGAUGCGGGAGUGCCCGAAAGGGAAUUGGAACACAGGUGCUGCAUUGGCUGUCGUCAGCUCGUGUCGUGAGAUGUUGGGUUAAGUCCCGCAACGAGCGCAACCCUUAUCAUUAGUUGCUACGCAAGGGCACUCUAAUGAGACUGCCGGUGACAAACCGGAGGAAGGAUGGGGAUGACGUCAAGUCCUCAUGGCCCUUAUGGGUAGGGCUUCACACGUCAUACAAUGGUCGGUACAGAGGGUUGCCAAGCCGGGAGGUG